UGGGGAAUAUUGGACAAUGGGCGAAAGCCUGAUCCAGCCAUGCCGCGUGUGUGAAGAAGGUCUUCGGAUUGUAAAGCACUUUAAGUUGGGAGGAAGGGCAGUAAGCGAAUGCCUUGCUGUUUUGACGUUACCGACAGAAUAAGCACCGGCUAACUCUGUGCCAGCAGCCGCGGUAAUACAGAGGGUGCAAGCGUUAAUCGGAAUUACUGGGCGUAAAGCGCGCGUAGGUGGUUCGUUAAGUUGAAUGUGAAAGCCCCGGGCUCAACCUGGGAACUGCAUCCAAAACUGGCGAGCUAGAGUAGGGCAGAGGGUGGUGGAAUUUCCUGUGUAGCGGUGGAAUGCGUAGAUAUAGGAAGGAACACCAGUGGCGAAGGCGACCACCUGGGCUCAUACUGACACUGAGGUGCGAAAGCGUGGGGAGCAAACAGG
This 429-nucleotide ribosomal RNA is filed under the name Pseudomonadota bacterium. Its description in RNAcentral is "Proteobacteria bacterium partial 16S ribosomal RNA". It matches the Rfam family "Bacterial small subunit ribosomal RNA", at positions 355 to 776 of the family's 1533-position model. The record is from RNAcentral. Lineage: Bacteria; Pseudomonadati; Pseudomonadota.